CACGUAGGCGGCAUAGUAAGUCAAAUGUGAAAUCCUAUGGCUUAACCAUAGAAUUGCAUUCGAUACUACUAAGCUAGAGUGCGGGAGAGGAAGAUGGAAUUCCCGGUGUAAGAGUGAAAUCUGCAGAGAUCGGGAGGAACACCAGUUGCGAAGGCGAUCUUCUGGACCGUAACUGACGCUGAGUGUGCGAAAGCUAGGGGAGCAAACAGGAUUAGAUACCCUGGUAGUCC
This 230-nucleotide ribosomal RNA is filed under the name uncultured bacterium. Its description in RNAcentral is "partial 16S ribosomal RNA". It matches the Rfam family "Bacterial small subunit ribosomal RNA", at positions 568 to 796 of the family's 1533-position model. The record is from RNAcentral.